This 213-nucleotide unclassified non-coding RNA is filed under the name plant metagenome. Its description in RNAcentral is "partial contains small subunit ribosomal RNA, internal transcribed spacer 1, and 5.8S ribosomal RNA". The record is from RNAcentral.
UUUCCGUAGGUGAACCUGCGGAAGGAUCAUUCAUAAUAAGUGUUUUAUGGCACUUUUUUAAAUCCAUAUCCACCUUGUGUGCAAUGUCAGGGUUGAUUUUUCUCUCGAGAGGAUCGGCCCCAAACAUCAACUAUAUCUCAACUCUUUGUCUGAAAAAUAUUAUGAAUAAAACAAUUCAAAAUACAACUUUCGACAACGGAUCUCUUGGCUCUC